Molecule: long non-coding RNA, 2128 nt
Organism: Pteropus alecto (black flying fox)
Lineage: Eukaryota; Metazoa; Chordata; Mammalia; Chiroptera; Pteropodidae
Exons: 3
Source: RefSeq, a predicted model, not a curated record
UACUUGUAAUGGCAGCACAGUGGGGACUGCAGUUCCUGGAUAGUGUACCAUUAAUAGACUGGCUAGCUAGUACUGUUUCUUGUCCCUUGGAGUGAAAGAGAAAGUAAAGCCAAAGAACAGGGAUUUAAUGCCACAUUUUUCUUCACUCAAUUGAAAAAUAUAUCUGAAAAACACUAUAAAAUUUCUGAUUUUUAAAAGGUCUUUGCAAGGUGAUUUUGGUCUUUUUCAGAUAGUGAAAGUUUUUUAAGAUAUUAAAUAAUUUAUUACUUUUACUUGUAUAGAAUAAAAGAUAACAGAAAACACAGAGAUCAAUAAAUCCUAAGACCUUCUUCAGAAGCAUUCUGGUCAGCGAAGGAGUUUCCACUUUUAAGAGGGAGAUUAGACUGGGUGAUCUUAUAUCCUUUUUAGCACAAAGUUUGUAUUGAUCUAUAAGAUUUGAAAUAUUUGAAUGCUUUCUUUUUUUUUUUUAUUGAAGUAAGAAGAUGGCCAAAUGCUUUUAUAGUAUUCCCAACUACUAGAGACUGAAUUAUAUCCCCUAAAAUUUUAUAUGGAUACUCAAAUCUCCAGUGUGACUAUAUUUGGAGAUAGGGUCUUUAGGAAGCAAAGGUUUAGGAAAUCAGGUUAUAAGAGUAGAGCUGUAAUCAGAUAGGACUGUGGCCUUAUAAGAAGAAAAAGGUAUCUCUCCUCGUUCCUCUUCUUUAUUAUUUCUCCCCCCCGCCAUUUUCCCUCUCCCUCUUCCUCUCUCUACCCGCCUUUCCCUUUACCCCAACCUUAGGACACAGUGAGAAGGCAGCCAUCUGCAAGUCAGGAAGAGAGAACCCUGACAGACACACCAACUCAGCCAGCACCUUCAUCUUGGACAUCCAGUCUUCAGAACUAGGAGAGCAUGAAUGCAGUGCCCAUAACCACAAAUUAUGCAGUAAAGGUUUUCACACUUGAGGAAAUUGCAGGGGUCAGCAGAUCAGGAGUGCAAUAGAUAAGCCUUGCCAUGGGCAAACCACCUUCAUGACCACGGUGUCUCCCCAGCCAGGUCAAGUCAAGGAAGAAAAGUACAAGAAGGCUUAUACACAAACAUCUCUAGAACUCCACUAAUUUAUAUCUGCUAGGAUCUUGAGAAUAUGUGUGGAAAUGGAUUCUAAGAGGGCCUGGUCCCGGAUGGAUCAACCUGAAUUUAUUGAUAUCGGUGCUAGAGAUUCUACAUUAAACACACUAGUUAAACAGGUGAGAGUAGUUCUAAUUCUUUACUCAGCUGGUUAAUGCAACCUGAACAAUAUAUGUUAUUCACAUAAUAUUAAUGUGAAAUGCCAUUAGUCCUUUGGACUAAAGGAGAGAAAGGAAUACAAAGAUUAAAAAUAGAAUUUCUGGAGUAGCUUUGUCAUGUGCAAUGUGACCAACCAUAUUCAUUCCCCAAUUAUCUCCUAGAAAGGGCUAGAAACUGUUUCACCAAUAACUUGAGAAGUACAAUGGCAAGGGGACUAACAGCAUAUUUGCAGAUGAAAGAAAUGUUGGUGAGAGGCACAAAAGUUCAAUGAACCCCUUGAUUUCAAUGUGGAUGAGGGAAUUCUGAGGUGGCAAAAAAACCAAGUAACAUUAGGUAAUAACAAAAAGCAUAGCUAUAUAUGUGCCAUACAGCAUCUCUCUGCCAUCACAAUCAGAAUAGUCUGAUCCACAGGGACUUAAACAAUUUUCACUUGGUCAUUGGAUAUCUAGGCCUAAAACAGAUAUAGAGUACACUAAGGUCCUACCUGAUUUGUAUUGACAAGAGCAGAAAACCAACAAACUUCAAAGCUGGUGAACAGAGAUCUGAUUGGAAGGCCCAUGAGAGUCACAAUUUCUUUUCCAUUUCUCUAACCUAAGUCAUUUCAGAGACCCAGAGCUCUUUGAAAGUAAAGAUAAUAUUGAGGCAUUUAGAAGGAAAAAUGGACCAGCUGUGGGACCUUGGGAGAUACAGGGCCUGCGGGAGCAAUGUGAGACUUUGGGGUUAUAUUUUUAUAUUUAUCAUUUCCCCAGAUAAUAUUUUGUUCAUUCCUUUGUAUUGUUAUACAAAUGGUCCAAUUUUUCAAAAGGAUGUUUAAAAAUCUUCUAAUCUUGAAGAGAAGCAUAUGAUAUGAUAUUAGAAUACCUUAAA